This 71-nucleotide transfer RNA is filed under the name Cordylochernes scorpioides. RNAcentral's name for it is "tRNA-Gly". It matches the Rfam family "tRNA". Rfam says of the family: Transfer RNA (tRNA) molecules are approximately 80 nucleotides in length. Their secondary structure includes four short double-helical elements and three loops (D, anti-codon, and T loops). The record is from RNAcentral. Lineage: Eukaryota; Metazoa; Arthropoda; Arachnida; Pseudoscorpiones; Chernetidae.
ACAUCGGUGGCUUAGUGGUAGAAUGCUCGCCUGCCACGCGGGCGGCCCAGGUUCGAUUCCCGGCCGAUGCA